UACGUAGGAGGCAAGCGUUGUCCGGAAUCACUGGGCGUAAAGCGCGUGUAGGCGGCGAGAUAAGUCUGCUGUGAAAGCUCUCGGCUCAACUGGGAGAGGUCGGUGGAAACUGUCUUGCUGGAGGACGGUAGAGGGGGGUGGAAUUCCCGGUGUAGUGGUGAAAUGCGUAGAGAUCGGGAGGAACACCAGCGGCGAAGGCGGCCCCCUGGGCCGGUCCUGACGCUGAGACGCGAAGGCCAGGGUAGCGAACGGG
RNAcentral lists this ribosomal RNA (253 nucleotides) under uncultured bacterium. Its description in RNAcentral is "partial 16S ribosomal RNA". It matches the Rfam family "Bacterial small subunit ribosomal RNA", at positions 524 to 776 of the family's 1533-position model. The record is from RNAcentral.